This 275-nucleotide ribosomal RNA is filed under the name uncultured bacterium. RNAcentral describes it as "partial 16S ribosomal RNA". It matches the Rfam family "Bacterial small subunit ribosomal RNA", at positions 399 to 691 of the family's 1533-position model. The record is from RNAcentral.
GCGUGAGUGAUGAAGGCCUUAGGGUUGUAAAGCUCUUUCGCACGUGACGAUGAUGACGGUAACGUGAGAAGAAGCCCCGGCUAACUUCGUGCCAGCAGCCGCGGUAAUACGAAGGGGGCUAGCGUUGUUCGGAAUUACUGGGCGUAAAGGGCGCGUAGGCGGCCCUGUUAGUCAGGCGUGAAAGCCCCGGGCUCAACCUGGGAACUGCGCUUGAUACUGCAGGGCUUGAGUUCCGGAGAGGAUGGUGGAAUUCCCAGUGUAGAGGUGAAAUUCGU